RNAcentral lists this ribosomal RNA (468 nucleotides) under uncultured bacterium. Its description in RNAcentral is "partial 16S ribosomal RNA". It matches the Rfam family "Bacterial small subunit ribosomal RNA", at positions 28 to 507 of the family's 1533-position model. The record is from RNAcentral.
GACGAACGCUGGCGGCGGGCUUAACACAUGCAAGUCGAACGGCAAGGCCCUGCUUUUGUGGGGUGCCCGAGUGGCGAACGGGUGAGUAACACGUGAGUAACCUGCCCUUGACUUUGGGAUAACUUCAGGAAACUGGGGCUAAUACCGGAUAGGAGCUCCUGCUGCAUGGUGGGGGUUGGAAAGUUUCGGCGGUUGGGGAUGGACUCGCGGCUUAUCAGCUUGUUGGUGGGGGAGUGGCUUACCAAGGCUUUGACGGGUAGCCGGCCUGAGAGGGUGACCGGCGACAUUGGGACUGAGAGACGGAGCAGAGUCCUACGGGAGGCAGCAGUGGGGAAUAUUGCACAAUGGGACGAAGCCGGAUGCAGCAACGCCGCGUGCGGGAUGACGGCCUGUGGGUUGUAAACCGCUUUCGCCUGUGACGAAGCGGGAGUGACGGUAAUGGGUAAAGAAGCACCGGCUAACUACGUG